GAUGAACGCUGGCGGCGUGCUUAACACAUGCAAGUCGAACGGAAAGGCUCCUGCUUGCAGGGGUACUCGAGUGGCGAACGGGUGAGUAACACGUGGGUGAUCUGCCCUGCACUUCGGGAUAAGCCUGGGAAACUGGGUCUAAUACCGGAUAGGACGAUGGUUUGGAUGCCAUUGUGGAAAGUUGUUCGGUGUGGGAUGAGCUCGCGGCCUAUCAGCUUGUUGGUGGGGUAAUGGCCUACCAAGGCGUCGACGGGUAGCCGGCCUGAGAGGGUGUACGGCCACAUUGGGACUGAGAUACGGCCCAGACUCCUACGGGAGGCAGCAGUGGGGAAUAUUGCACAAUGGGCGCAAGCCUGAUGCAGCGACGCCGCGUGGGGGCUGACGGCCUUCGGGUUGUAACCUCCUUUCGCUAGGGACGAAGAGCAAGUGCCGGUACCUGGAGAAGAAGCACCGGCUAACUACGUG
RNAcentral lists this ribosomal RNA (465 nucleotides) under uncultured bacterium. RNAcentral describes it as "partial 16S ribosomal RNA". It matches the Rfam family "Bacterial small subunit ribosomal RNA", at positions 28 to 507 of the family's 1533-position model. The record is from RNAcentral.